AGCCCCGUAGUGUAGCGGUCAAGCACCCAGCCCUCUGGAGGCUGAGACCCAGGUUCGAAUCCUGGCGGGGCUA
This 73-nucleotide transfer RNA is filed under the name Nanobdellota archaeon. Its description in RNAcentral is "tRNA-Gln". It matches the Rfam family "tRNA". From Rfam's summary of the family: Transfer RNA (tRNA) molecules are approximately 80 nucleotides in length. Their secondary structure includes four short double-helical elements and three loops (D, anti-codon, and T loops). Lineage: Archaea; Nanobdellati; Nanobdellota. The record is from RNAcentral. RNAcentral also lists the same sequence under 1 other name.